This 555-nucleotide ribosomal RNA is filed under the name Triticum aestivum (bread wheat). Its description in RNAcentral is "partial small subunit ribosomal RNA". Lineage: Eukaryota; Viridiplantae; Streptophyta; Magnoliopsida; Poales; Poaceae. The record is from RNAcentral.
AUGGGGCUCACGUUCACGAAGCUGUUCAGCCGGCUCUUCGCCAAGAAGGAGAUGAGGAUCCUCAUGGUCGGUCUCGAUGCGGCUGGUAAGACCACCAUCCUCUACAAGCUCAAGCUCGGAGAGAUCGUCACCACCAUCCCCACAAUCGGGUUUAAUGUCGAAACUGUAGAGUACAAGAACAUUAGUUUCACCGUUUGGGAUGUCGGGGGUCAGGACAAGAUCAGGCCCCUGUGGAGGCACUACUUCCAGAACACCCAGGGUCUCAUUUUUGUCGUGGACAGCAAUGACAGAGAGCGUGUUGUUGAGGCAAGAGAUGAGCUUCACCGGAUGCUGAAUGAGGAUGAGCUGCGUGAUGCUGUGCUGCUGGUGUUUGCCAACAAGCAAGAUCUUCCUAAUGCCAUGAACGCUGCUGAAAUCACUGACAAGCUUGGCCUGCAUUCUCUGCGCCAGCGACACUGGUACAUCCAGAGCACAUGUGCUACCUCUGGAGAGGGGUUGUACGAGGGCCUUGACUGGCUGUCCAACAACAUUGCCAACAAGUGCAAACACACAUGA